GCACCCCAAACUCCCCAGGAACCCCCUCAGGGUUGGGAACUGGGUGAUGCCCCCUCCAGGACAACAAUGCCAGGCAAGGGCAGCACCCCAAACCCUCCUUUAGAGCUGGGGGGGACCUCCCAAACCCUACCCAGCCCCACAGGGACCCCCUUGGAUUGCUGUCCCUGAGGGUCUGUGCACCCCAAACACCCCAGGGACCCCUCUGGAUUGCUGUCCUUGAAGGUCUGAGUACCCCAAACCCUACAGGGACCCUUCUGGGUUGGUUUCCUCAGGAUCCUGAGCACCCCAAACCCCCCAGGAUUGAUGUCCCUGAGGGUCUGUGCACCCCAAACCCCACUGGGGUGAUGUCCUUGAAGGUCUGAGCGCCCCAAAACCACCAGGACUGAUGUCCCCAGGGUCCUG
RNAcentral lists this long non-coding RNA (402 nucleotides) under Zonotrichia albicollis (white-throated sparrow). RNAcentral's name for it is "lncRNA (ENSZALG00000001245.1)". The record is from RNAcentral. Lineage: Eukaryota; Metazoa; Chordata; Aves; Passeriformes; Passerellidae.